AUGCCACGCGGGAUGAAGCAACGGCAGCACAGGAGCUUCCCGGCGCAGGUCAUCUUCCUCUCCUUUGUCCUCCCCCAUUCCCCUCCUAGAUACUCGUUGAUUAAGAGGCUUUGCACUACAGAGCAGUUGGUGGUAGGAAGGACAGAGGACGCGAAGAACUCAUGGUUAGGUGUACGGCGAGAGGAGGAGGAGGAAGCACUUCUCUGA
This 207-nucleotide ribosomal RNA is filed under the name Triticum aestivum (bread wheat). RNAcentral describes it as "partial small subunit ribosomal RNA". The record is from RNAcentral. Lineage: Eukaryota; Viridiplantae; Streptophyta; Magnoliopsida; Poales; Poaceae.